UUGCAGUUAUGCAGUCGUGGGCUGCUGUGUUACGACAGUGACGUGUGUUGCCGUAAAGCGUUUUUCCCGCCAUGCGGAGAGUUGGAGACUCAGCACAGUUCACGUGGUUCCACCUUGAGCCCUCCUUCCAUGUCCGUGCGUCCUUGGACAUAACAGGAAUGUCAUUUUAGGAGGGUGCUGGAGCCUAUCCCAGCUGCAUGUGGGCAGAAGGCGGGGUACACCCUGGACAAGUCUCCACCUCAUCGCAGGGCCAACACCGAUACACAGCCCCCAAUAUACUAAUUGCUUGUAUUUCAUCACGUGACUUCUUCUUGCUAAAGUUGGAGAAGAUGUUCAGGACAAAAGGUGGCAUUGCGGGACCCAAAAAGGGACCUUGUCGGAUUCACUAUAUCAGGCAUCCAGGGAGAUGGAGCCUAUCCCAGCUGACUUCAGGUGAAAGGCAGGGUCCACUCUGGACUGUUACCAGUCCUUCACAGGACACACAGACAGGGGAUGUCAUCACUGAGUCGCUCCAAGAAGAAUAUUCUGCAUUCAGUGGCAGGACAUCAGCCAUUAGCCUUCACUCUGCUACUUGGAGACAUCACAAUAGUGUUGGUAUUUUCUUAUCCUUGUGUCAAGAUGGCAUUGGUGCCUUUUUGACAUCACAUGUGAGACUGUGUGCUGGCUGUGGUUAGAGAAGACCAUCAAGUGUCCAUCUCCUUGUUUGAGUGGACACAGCAGGUAGACGUUCUCCACACUGAGCUUCAUUAAGCUGGACAUGCACUUAACACUUACAUUUACUCCAUUCAUGAAUGUGUUAGUUUUUUUUCUCAACUACUUUGGAGGUUCGGAUAAAUUGAAAUAAAAUCAUACGGCGGAAGAAAGACUCCAUAUUUAUAUGAUGGA
This is a long non-coding RNA of Nerophis ophidion (straightnose pipefish), 885 nucleotides long. RefSeq lists it as uncharacterized. The transcript has 5 exons. The record is from RefSeq and is a predicted model, not a curated record. Lineage: Eukaryota; Metazoa; Chordata; Actinopteri; Syngnathiformes; Syngnathidae.